This 401-nucleotide ribosomal RNA is filed under the name uncultured bacterium. Its description in RNAcentral is "bacterial SSU rRNA". It matches the Rfam family "Bacterial small subunit ribosomal RNA", at positions 356 to 774 of the family's 1533-position model. The record is from RNAcentral.
GGGGAAUCUUGCACAAUGGGGGCAACCCUGAUGCAGCGACGCCGCGUGAGCGAUGAAGCCCUUCGGGGCGUAAAGCUCUUUCGACCGGAACGAUAAUGACGGUACCGGGAGAAGAAGCUGCGGCUAACUACGUGCCAGCAGCCGCGGUAAUACGUAGGCAGCGAGCGUUGUUCGGAGUUACUGGGCGUAAAGGGUGUGUAGGCGGUUCUCUAAGUUUGGUGUGAAAUCUCCCGGCUUAACCGGGAGGGUGCGCCGAAAACUGGGGGGCUAGAGUGCGGGAAGGGAGAGUGGAAUUCCUGGUGUAGCGGUGAAAUGCGUAGAUAUCAGGAGGAACACCGGUGGUGUAGACGGCUCUCUGGACCGUAACUGACGCUGAGACACGAAAGCGUGGGUAGCAAACA